Molecule: ribosomal RNA, 253 nt
Filed under: uncultured bacterium
Lineage: Bacteria
Description: partial 16S ribosomal RNA
Rfam family: Bacterial small subunit ribosomal RNA
Source: RNAcentral
UACGGGGGGGGCGAGCGUUGUUCGGAAUUACUGGGCGUAAAGGGUGCGUAGGCGGUUCGCUAAGUCGGAUGUGAAAACUCUGGGCUCAACCCAGAGCCUGCAUCCGAAACUGGCGGGCUAGAGUUCUGGAGGGGGUAGCGGAAUUCCUGGUGUAGCGGUGAAAUGCGUAGAUAUCAGGAGGAACACCGGUGGCGAAGGCGGCUACCUGGACAGAAACUGACGCUGAGGCACGAAAGCUAGGGGAGCAAACAGG